Molecule: ribosomal RNA, 253 nt
Filed under: uncultured bacterium
Lineage: Bacteria
Description: partial 16S ribosomal RNA
Rfam family: Bacterial small subunit ribosomal RNA
Source: RNAcentral
UACGGGGGGGGCAAGCGUUGUUCGGAAUUACUGGGCGUAAAGGGCUCGUAGGGGGCCAAUUAAGUCAGACGUGAAAUCCCUCGGCUCAACUGAGGAACUGCCUUUGAAACUGUCUGGCUUGAGGCCGGGAGAGGGUAGCGGAAUUCCCAGUGUAGCGGUGAAAUGCGUAGAUAUUGGGAGGAACACCAGUGGCGAAGGCGGCUACCUGGACCGGUUCUGACGCUGAGGCGCGAAAGCGUGGGUAGCAAACAGG